GCCUGGGUGGCUCAGUCAGUUAAGCAUCUGACUUGAGCUCAGGUCAUGAUCUCAGUUCGUGGGUUUGAGCCCCACAUCGGGCU
This 83-nucleotide transfer RNA is filed under the name Felis catus (domestic cat). It matches the Rfam family "tRNA". Rfam says of the family: Transfer RNA (tRNA) molecules are approximately 80 nucleotides in length. Their secondary structure includes four short double-helical elements and three loops (D, anti-codon, and T loops). Lineage: Eukaryota; Metazoa; Chordata; Mammalia; Carnivora; Felidae. The record is from Rfam by way of RNAcentral.